CAAAGAAAGCUAGGAAUUAAAUUCCUUCUGUGGGAAGACAGUUUAUUGUGUUUUUAUAUCUUGUUCUGAGUAACCUUUAUUCCAUGAGAAGAAAAGAAAUUCUGAAGGCUUUCUGAGUUAGUGUAUGAGUUACAGUGACUAUUCUCUGGAAGACUGUCUCAACACAAAAAAAAUGAAAGCUCCUAUCCAAUUAAAAUGUAAAUUUUUGUCACUUUUUAAAUAUACUACAAAGAUAAUAGGAAAAAAAAAAUCUUCUUUUACUUCCACAGCUAAAUUUUUGGAGAGACAAAAGUUAUGAUGUGAAUAAGCAAACAAAGUUCUGAAAUCUCUGUAAUUCCUUUGUUGUGGAUAGUCAGCUGCAGAUAUUUCCUGACAUAUCUUCUCUCUCCAGAUGUUAGCACAGCUGGAAAUGCUCUAAGACCAGUUUUCUUUGCAGCAGUUUUACAGAUAGAGACACAGAAUUUAGAGAAAAAAGAAAAUUGAAGAAAAGAUCUUUGGGAACACAAUCAAAGGUUCGCUCCACAAUGUUUGACAGGAAUCAGACAAGCAGGGUCAUGGGCUGCAGACACAUUGAGGAGCAGCUGAGGUGCUUCUUCUGGCCAAGUGAUAAUGACAAAGAGCAGUCCCAGGUCUGUGGGAAGCAGCUGUCCAAGCAGGAAAUGUGUGCCCUAACUGCAGCCUCCUGUGUUGCAUUGGCACAUUAUGCUGCUUGGGCUGUCCAGCCAGGAAGAGGAAAUAAUGUGGCUUCUUGAUGAGCUGCAAAUCCUAUCAGCUAAUAUCUGAUGAACUGCUGAGAGUUUUCUGUAAUGAGUCAAUAUGAAGCAUUUGUGCCAGUUGAGAUCUGCCUGCAUAAUUUAAUAGCUAUUUGUAUAAGUACUGGUUAGCACAAAGAUUGGGCCCAGAUGACAUGACAGUAAAGUUAAAUACAUAUAUGAUCCCUUAAAAUUGUAAUAAAUACUUCCAUAAAAUUUUUGUCCA
Molecule: long non-coding RNA, 978 nt
Filed under: Phasianus colchicus (ring-necked pheasant)
Lineage: Eukaryota; Metazoa; Chordata; Aves; Galliformes; Phasianidae
Description: lncRNA (ENSPCLG00000001314.1)
Source: RNAcentral